Molecule: non-coding RNA, 5870 nt
Organism: Vicugna pacos (alpaca)
Lineage: Eukaryota; Metazoa; Chordata; Mammalia; Artiodactyla; Camelidae
Source: RefSeq, a predicted model, not a curated record
GUACAGUGUGAAGGGCAUUCAAGCACACACUGGCUAACUUCUCACUCAGUCUGCGACACAAAGGAGGAAGAUUUCCUGGGCCAGAAAUCCGAGCAACAAUGCCAGAGCGCUGGUCUUCAUGCAAAAGAACGCAUCACUAAGUAUGGAGUUCCAGACGCCCAGGAGCAGCGAGCGAAGCAGAGCUUUGGCGCACGGGCUGGCUGCUAGCACUCCCCAGCCGUGCCCACGUUUACGGGUAGGAUGUACUCUAUGUUGUGGGCAUUCACUGAUACUGUGCCCCGAGACUGCUUUGUCAACUGUCCAACAUGCCACAUCUGUGAUGCAAUAUUUGAAGUCGCGCCCAAACACUAGGCGAAUCCUAUUUCUCUGCAAGAAGUGCUUGUAAAUCGAAAAGUCAUCACCCUCCUCAAGGAAGCAUGCCUUGUGGAAAUGGGAAUUGCAUCAAAGCUGGUUGAUCAGACUUCAAAGGAUGCUCUUGUUCUAAAGAUUCUUUUUCUAUUAUGAACUUUUUUUUUGGUCUCUUCAAGGGAAGAUGUGAGAGAAUUCUCUGAAUACUUCAAGCUGCAAACCCCUAGCUAACUUCAUUACCAUAUUGAUUAUUUCAUCAAGAAAUAUUCGAGGGAGAUUAAUUUCCCUGCAUAACGUCCUCAGUUCUCCUUCAGUUUUCACGUGAUGGCAUAACCCUCGCCUCCUCUCCUCCUGCCCCUCUUGUACUUUUUCAAACUGCAGGAAUGAAUUGUAAAAAGGAAGGUCCUCGUUGCCUCCCUCUCUUUCCCCCCUAACGCUUUCCUUCCCCCCUCCGUAAGAAUUAAAAGUGAUAUUUCUUUUGACAGCUGGUAACUAAUCCCACCUUAGCAGGAAAGAGAACAGGAAGCCAGCAAAGGAAUUUUCCAUUCCUAUGUCUCUUUUAAUUUUUUUCCACAUCAGGUACUUUUCAAAACCUAGACAUUUGCAGUGAGCCUGUAUGUCUUCUUGUUUUGUCUACUAGAGCCACGUGUUCCGAGCUUCUCCUGUGCUGGCCGAGGACAAACCUGACUGAGCUGGUGUUUGUCUUUGGAGGAGGGAGAAUUUGAGAACUUUCGAGUCUCCAAAGGGAACAUAACUGAAAUGUGAUGCCUUUGCUUAUGCAAACGGGAUUUUUCCUGUUGUAAAGAUAAAGUUCACACAGCUAGUCCCUCAAACCGCAAGUCAAAAUGCUUCAUACUGUAAGGAGAACGACAGCUCUGACUCUUAUAAAAUAAGUUUCUGCUCAACCAUCUUUUGCCCGGCAGACAGCUUGGCUUCCUGCCUCCUCCCCUCUCUCCUUUCCUUCAUUUCUUCCUUUCUUUUCUGUUUAAAUGCUAAAGGGCUCUGUGUAGUUUAUGUUCUGAGUCUUCCAGAGUGUACAGGAUAAGAAGUUAGGGGGGAAAGGAAAAAAAAUAAUCAGCUUGAAUGUGUUUCCUCAAGGAGCAAUCCACUUUAGCAUUUUCAUAACAUAAGCACACUAUUUCAAUAAAUGAUUUUUUUAAAUGAUGAAAUUAUAGUUUCCAAACAAAAUGGGAAUGACAUGCAUCUAUGUCAGUGGGUGUCAUUUCAAAUGAAGUAAUUUAAUUAAGAUGAUGUCUACAGCGACAUACUAGAUUCUGUGUAAGUAACUAAAAACACAGCUCUAAAACUGAAGUCGACUCUUCUCUGAAGUUGACUCUUCUCUGAAGUUUUCCAACUGUAUAUUUUUACUGUGGCAAUAAUGAUUAGAAUCUAAAUAAAAGGAACAAGAAACACUCACUGAGUGGAUACUGGCAGCAGGUCCCGUUUUAGACACUUUUCAUGUAUCACCCCUUUACUUUUCUCACUUAACCAACAGGGAAGCGGAGUCAGGCCCAGGCAUCUCCUGCUGUCUGCUCAAGGCCCCACGACUAAGAGAUAGAGGCCCCGGGAUAUGAAUCCAGGCAGUUGGGCUACAGGACCAGAGCUCGUAACCCCUUGUUUUUGCCUAAGUAUUGAACGAGCAAACCUUUCCUUGGUCUAACAAAUAUACUGUCUUGAUUAGAUAUCAGCUACGAGCCCCCAUUCCCCAGACCGAGUCUCACCGGCCCCCAGAGGAAAGCGAAAUUCAUCUCAAAUUAUGGCAACGGCACAGCAAUGCUUGCAUCUCUAGUUCCAAAACAACAUCAGCUGAGGACAGGGCUGGGCACAGCUGAAUCACAACGAAAGUCUCAAAAUGUGAAGCUGAGGCUGUGCUUCUUUUCUGGCAGAUUUAAAGCUCAGCGUAAAGCAAGUCUACCAAGUGAAUUUAUUUCUUGGUGUUAAUUUUCUGUAUGGUUGUUCAGUAUGUGUUGAGGGUGUUUGCUUAACUCAGAAUGAUUCUUAUUUUUUGGAAACUUCCCGACUCUGCCUCAGGUAUUCACAGCUCCACAGUGUCCCUGCCUGAGUUCUAGACUUUCCAGUGGAUCUCAUGUGAAGAUCACCACCAUCUUCUCCUAGAUCCUUUCAGACUCUGAUUGCAUCUUAUUCCUGUGAUAAAGUCCCCUCUCUGCCUAUUUUAUUUAUUUACUUGUUUAAAUAAUCUCAAGUUCCUAGGACUUUUGGAUCACUCACAUAGCAAACAAUGAACACCACUAAAUCACAGCAACUCCUUGAACUUUUUCUCUAAAUCUGACAUAUGCUAUAUAGCAAAGCAGACAGAAAAUUCGGAUUUUUGCUUUUUUCUAGAAGUGACAGAAAAGCAGAGAAGAAUGGGGAGAUGGAAGAAGGAGGAAAAAGGAUAAGGCAGAAGUGAAGGAGGAAAGGAUCUUCAUCUUUUAUAAAAUUUAGGCAUAUAUAUGUACACACAUACACACACACACACACCCCUCUUCAGAAUUUGAUUAAACACACAUUGACUGAGCAGCUGUAUAUUACAAAGAAUGUGCUGAACACCGUAGUUAUAAACUUGAGUAAGCUCUAGUCCCCUGCCUGCAUUCAGGGAGUUAUUAGUCUAGUACAGCAAUAUAAAAAAUUUUUUUUAAUUGCUGGAUUUUAGGUAAUCUGAAUGCUUAAAAGAAGCACAAGCCAUUGUCACGGAAGCAAAGUAAAGACAAUUCUAUCUAUUGGUGGAGAUCAGAAAAAGUUGCUUGCAAGUGAUGAUUUCACAAUGAACCAAUUGUUGGACCAACUGACAUCUUUCCAAGUCCAACAACCCCCAUUUCCCGGCUCUCAGAUGUCUGCCUGUGAUCUCUCAACAAACACAGUGCAUUCUUUCCCGGGUGUGUUUGCCCUAACAAACUAAUAGCCUUAGGUAACGCCUAAUCUUACAAUAGCCCAGGCUGGCUUUUUUCAGCCCACCUUAUCAGAGUCAUUCACGGACCCUAAACCUCGUACCUCAUCUACAACCAAUCAGAGACUUGUGCACAAGCCAAUCAGGUACCUUGUGACCCGACCUGAUAAAACACCCCCACAACCGGCCCUUGGGGCUCACGCAGGCUCCUCUCGCCCGUGUGGCCUGCUGUUGUCUACGACAGUGUACCCCUAAUAAACUCCUUUUUAUUUCUAUACUUUACCUCUGGUAAAUUCUUUUACCAACCCCCUGUCACUGUCACUUGGCCGUCACAUUGUGUCCCACAACACCCAAGAAGUGGAGAAGGUUAUGAAUGUAUUCCGAACCCAAAGAGAAGCAUGCACAAAGACAGAAGGGAGAAACUACUGGAGAAACAAUAAUGUUGCAGGUUGACUGUGGCUUGGGGGCACCUGUCAUGAAGCAAAGACUGAACAGUGAUGAGAUCCAGAUCCUGGGAGAACUUCACCAUCAGAUGAGGACACUGUACUUGAUUUAGCGGGGAGCCACGGGAGGCAGGGGUUAGAAAUGUGAAUCUGGCCCACCUGCAGCACAGUUUAAGUGGGUAAAGACAGUCAAUGCGGGAAGGGUAGAAAAAAGGGGGGAUAAAAAGGAGUAGUUCAUGACGAGUGUUGAUGUUAGCGGGCAGAGGGAGGAUGAGACCGACUUAAAUGAAUAAAACAACUUUAUCUUAUUUAGCAGCUGAUAGAACUAAGCAAUCGGAGAGAAAGAAGUCAAAGAUUAUUCCAAGUGUUCAUGAUCUGAGUGUGUGAGAGGAAUUUUUCUGAAGAUUCUUCGCUUCUGAAUGAGAAGACUAUUCUCCACGGCAUCAGCUAAGUACAAGCAGUCAACUGUAUGGGCAACACCACCAGAAAAGUCAGGAAACUGGAUUUCACUUCUUGACUGAGAACCAACCAGAAGUGUGAUCUUUGUCAAGACACUGCAUUUCUUUGGAUCUUUGUUUUCUAGUAUGCAAAGCAGAAAGUUGGAUAAUCUCUGUUAUCUCUUCUAGGUAUCAUGAACGAAGAACAAAAGAGCGCUGUUCACCACCCAGUUCUAAAGGGUGAAGUGAUAACUCACUCCACUCACCCACCAACAAUGCACCUUGAGAGGAACUCAGGAUGGAAAACAAGGUCGGACGCUCUGUGCUUUAGAUCAACAGGCCCUCAGACAGUUACGUGCACAUCUCAGGAAGAAGUUCAAUGACCCCAGAUCCCUGCAGCUUCUCAAGAAAAGCGCUGACACCAUCAGCUGAAGAUUUCUGCUCUUUGUGAUUAGCAGUAAUCUUUUACCAAGAGGUAUGCUUGAUUGCAUGCCUUUCCCAGCCAAAAAAAAAAUCAUAUAUAAACGGGCUUCCCCCUACCUCUUUGGAGCAGUUUCUCCAGAGCUAACCAGGCAGCCGUUUCCUGGGCUAUAGUCCUCAGUAACUCCCUGAAUAAAACUGAAACGCACAACUCUCAGGUUGUGCAUUUUCCUUUAAGUCAACAGUAUAUAACUUUGUUGUUCUAUCUGUCCAUAUUAUAAUGAGAUGUAACGGGGAUUAUGUCUUUUUCGCUCUACACUGCAUACCCCAUGCCUAACACAGUCCCUGGCCAUGAUGUGUCCAAUAAACAGAUGUUUAAUGAUUGAAUGAAUGAGUCAAUGAAUGAAUCAUUAGAAGAUUGUGAUUUAUAUCAAGGCAAAAGGACUGAUUAGUUCAGUUCAAAAAAAGUCAAAGUAGCCAUUUGAAAGUUUUAGCAUAAAGGGCUGAGUUGGAUUUAUGGAGACACAAUCUGUUUGACACUAAAAAUUAUAGUUCUGCUUUACAAAGUCUUAUAAUCAUAAAAGUUAUCUGCUAUCGCUCACAGGUAAAUGUUCCCAGCAAAUAUUAGUCUUCCAAAUGGAAGAUUUCUCUAUGUUUUUGUAUGUUAUUUCCAUUGCAUACAUAUAGGUUGGACAUACUGCACCGUAUAAAAUAUAGAUCAAGUUAAGGCUGAAAUGGAAGGAGUUACUGUGAGGUUUCAUAGGACUGGAAAUCUUGUAUUUAGCUGUGGAUUUGUGUAGUGCUGUGUAAAGACAACAUAUAUCUUGAAGUGUUCUUUUUUCUGUAAUAUAUUGACUAACUAUAUUUAUAAUGUUCAGUUGUUUCAAUACUUUGUAAACCACAAGUCAGCUUAGAAAGCAACAUAUUCCACAUUUCAACUAUUUACUUUGAUUUAUAUACAUAAGGGUAAAGAAUGAAAGAGCCAAUAUUUAGCAGAAUUGUAUAGACAAACCUUUGCAUACAGUUAGUUAUUCUAGAGAGCUCAUUUGGCAUUAAUAAUUUUACUUAUCCUGAUCUAUGCAUUUCAAAAAGUUUUCUAAGUACCAAUAUAUACUCUCUCUCUCACAUAUACACAUAUACACACACAUAUUACCAAAUUCCUGAAUAUUUAAUACUAUGUAAUCAAGAUACCCAGGUGAUAGAUUAUUUAUUUUUAAUAAAGAUGUUUGAACAUUAUAUCUAAUGGAUUUUGUACUACCUCACUGCAAUCCUUAACCCACUACCAUUUUUUCUUUUUUAAAAGUUAAUAAUAUAAUGAAUUAGACAUGCAAAAAA